UCCGAACACAGAAGUUAAGCUCUUUAGCGCCGAUGGUACUUGGUGGGAAGCUGCCUGGGAGAGUAGGACGUAGCCACGUA
This 80-nucleotide ribosomal RNA is filed under the name Paraclostridium sordellii. The record is from RNAcentral. Lineage: Bacteria; Bacillati; Bacillota; Clostridia; Peptostreptococcales; Peptostreptococcaceae.